Long non-coding RNA from Mytilus trossulus (common blue mussel), 1728 nucleotides. RefSeq lists it as uncharacterized. The record is from RefSeq and is a predicted model, not a curated record. NCBI's taxonomy places the organism in Eukaryota, Metazoa, Mollusca, Bivalvia, Mytilida, Mytilidae. The transcript has 5 exons.
GAAUAAACAUAGAUAUGCCGUGUCGUCAGGUACUAUUGUACAAGUAAUAUUAUCAAGGAGACCAUGGAUUUUUUUAAACUUGUUUUGUUUAUAUACCUGAUCAAAGAUGCACAUCCUUUUGUGGUUCUGAUCCUUCAUGUAUCAAAGUAACAACAAAGUCCGCUAGGUCUAUACAUGUUGCAUGGGAUACAACAAAAACAAGCUGUGGUUAUACUAUAAUUGGAUACAUAGUUUAUUUCAACAGCUUGUCUCCAGUCAAGAAUUACAAAGAUAAAGAUGUUUUAGGAGCAACAACUGACAAUGUGAACAUUUACCCUAUUGUACCAGGAUUUUCUUAUAAUAUAUUUGUCAAGGCUGUUACGGCAAACGGGAUAGUAUCAAGUCAGACUUCUACUAAUUAUACACACCCACACACUCGUCCUAGUGCUACACCUAGUAAUUUUCAUGCAUCUGUACAAGGAACAACAUCUUUAACAAUUACCUGGGAUGCAUAAGGUGUUUUGACAAAAAACGGAGACGUUUGGGGAUACCAGAUUUAUUAUCGAGGUCCAGGGCUUACAGGGACGCAAAGAGUAACCAUCCUUGGUGAAGAUAAUCGUCAAUAUACUACAACUGGUCUGAAGCCAAAUAGUACAUACCAGUUUGUUGUACAAGUCGUGAAUGAUGUUGGACCUGGUCCAUACAGUGCAUUCAUACCUAUCAACACAGCACCACCGUUACAUAUUAUGCAGAAAAAAUGAUACCAUAAAUGUUGUUAUGAUAAAAGAAGAUAGAGAAUUGAUACAUUUAUGUUUAGUUGACUGUAUAUAAUAUAGCAUUCCAUUUGCAUUGUUUUCAACAGAAAGGUCAAAUGAAAAAGUAAUAAGAAUGAAUAUGUAGGCUACUUACCAAAUAUUAGUUUUAUUCAACGGCAUUUACAGUUGGUUGCCAGUUAUGGAAUAUCACUUUCACACGUGACAACGGAUAUGUAUGCAUUUUUCGUAAACUUUUCCCAAUUGAGACGAUCCGAGGUUUGUUCUUACAUGAGCAAGGCACCAGGUUCACAUGUGGAGCAGGAUCUGCUUACCCUUCUGGAGCACCUGAGAUCACACCAAUGUUUUGUUAGUUCUUGUUGCUCAGUCUUUUGGGGUUUUUUUGUAAAAGGGGCUAUAUAAUAAUUGUUGGGGCAACUCUAUUACAUUUAAAUACAUUCAAAGUUUUUAGUUUUGAAUUAGUUGUCUUUGUUAGAAUUUAUCAUUGGAGUUAUUUAGAACUUGAAAUAAUUUUUAAUUAUAUUUUUUGACAACAUUGUUUAAUUAAAAAUGAUUACAAGGUCUCCAACAAUAAAGGAUUAGUUUAAAUAAAGGCAACAGUAGUAUACCGCUGUUCGAAACUCAUAAAUCGAUAGAAAAAAAAACAAAUCCGGAUUACAAACUUAAACUAAAGGAGGGGCGAAAGAUAUCAGAAGAACAGCCAAACUCAUAAAUUGAAAAUAUACUGACAACUCCAUGGCUAGCAAUGAAUUACACAAUAAACAUAGAUAACUAAAGACUGAGCAACACGAACCCCACCAAAAACUAGGAUGAUUAACAGUUGAAGUAAAAAGGAAGAUAGCGACGCAAAUAAUGGGGUCGAAUAUCCCAUUCCAAACGACGAUCAAACACCAACAAAGCUAAGCUCUAUCACAAGAUAAACUGGACUGUUGUGUUUACUUAUCGCUACACUGUACGUUGCGAAGCUAUAGAUGGA